UUUUCUUUAUUAGACAGGUUGGACUCUUUCUCAACUCUCACAAAACAAUGUAAUAACAUCCAACAGUCGCACAAUAAGAGGGCAACAGCUAGGAAGAAGGUGAUGAAGACAGGUGUGGGAGAGGUGCUGCCCUUCAUCAAGUGGAUUGUGUACAGGAAAAUCAGGUGACCCGGUACGACAAACAGGAGCAGCACCUGUGCAGAGCGAUGAUUGGCUCCUGUCAGAGGUAGAUAUGGUUAACUGACAGAUAGAAUACACCUGACAAGAGAACAUUUAAUUCCUUUUGUGUUCACAGGUAUGUUAAAGGGACUGGUCAUGUGCAUGAGCCUGUCUACAUGUGCGUGUCAUUACCUGAGCCACAGAAGGUCCUGCAGGGGUUGUAGCAGCUCCUGCGAUCCUCAGGCACCUGCCUCGGUGGGCAGUGGUGGUACAGAUCAGUGGCUAUACGACUGGACUGGAUGGCAACCAGGUUCCCCCCAAUACCUAGAUUGAGAUGAAGAAUACACAAUGAUCAUACAUUUGGAGAGAUCUUGUGACUUACCAUUUUCUUGAAGGUUCCUGAAUGUAUGCUUCUAAAAAUCCAGAUCCUUGUCUCACCAUUCAUAACUGGCGUGUAGACUAUCAUUCCCACCAUGUUCGGGUCUGAUACAGUUGUGUCCAAGAUGAGUCCUCCGAUACUAGAGAAAAAUACUUAUUAAAGGAUGGUAUUUCCAUUUGAAUGCUGUGACUGGACUUCAGGGCCACAGAACAGGGAAGCAGACCUGCUGAUGACCAUGGCAGUGAUGAUUGGUUCCCAGCCUGUGUAGAGUAGAAUGCGACUUGCUGGGUUUCUGGAGGAGACGACCACCCACAGAGGGGUCAGUCCGAGGAAGAACAGACACACCAGGUACGGCACAUAGGGAUACAACUCUGUGUGGAGACAAGGAAAGGAGCAGACACACACUAGCUAAACAAAUAUAGUUGAUAGCUAGCCAGAUGAGUCAGAGCUAUAAAUGUAGCUAUGACAUUCCAGUAAAUGGGCCCAGACUGCCCCCUAGUGGCCGAAAGCUAAACCUCUUGAUUUAUACCUAUGCAUUCGUAGAGCCCCUGGCUCAGGCAGGCCAGGAUGGCCAGGGUGAUGAGGUCACCAAAGCUGGCAGCGAUGGGCGUGGCCACGUUGUCUGGGUUGAUGCCAAUCCUCUUGGAGCCGGUGAUCACUCCCACCAUGAUGAUCCCUGGGAGAAAACACAGUCGAGUCAGAUUCAGGCUACUGUUCAGUUGCACAACUCUCCAACCAAGGUGCAUGAAUUGAGCAGCCAAGAGUUGAACGGAUGAAAGUAAUGUGGUGACAGCUGGGAGAAGCGUCAGACUGGGGGAAGGGACAAGGGACUGUAAUGGCCAACAGUGGUAUUAUUCACUUCCGCUUUUAUCAAGUGGUAAAUGCAAAUCAAAUAUCUGUAAACACAGAUGGUCAAGUUGAAUUAGUUGAUGCAUAUUUACAUUCCAAGGCAGAUAAAAUAGCAUGUUAUUCUGUGGACCGAUCAGUACCCAUCAUUCCAAUGAAAAUGAACCACAUGAAUAAUUCAUUUGGGUGUCCUAGCUAGAUCACAAACUCUGCCUUACAGAGUCAGGUCUGCCUUUCAGAUCCCAAGCAUUGGUUUUAUUUGAGACAUAACAAAAUGGUUUUGCAACAAAAAGGUCUGAUACAGAAGAAACCUACAAUGUCAGUUGUAGCUAAGCUUCCUGGUCUCAGAUUAUUAUAUUGUGUACGUCUCAAAUAGAAAGAGCAUUCAGGCUUUUCCAGGAAUACAGCAGAAGUGUACAGUUUUGCAAUUAAGUUGGAAUAAUUGUACAUGUAAAUGGAUGAGUAAGAGAUAAUGUGCCUCAGAGAGAGGUUAUGGUAGUUUAUGUAGAAAAAAAUACUAUAGUAUACUAUGGUCUAAAUACUGUAGUAUUACUAUAUUUAUAUACUAUAGUAUUCACUGUACGGUUUUUGCAGACUUUACUGUAGUGUUCACUGUAGGACAGCAGGUAGCCUGGCGGUAAGGAGUGUUGUGCCACUUGCCCUUGAGAAAGGCAGUUAACCCUAAUUGCUCCAGGGUCGCGUCAAUAAUGGCUGAUCGUCCGUGACCCCACUCUCUCAGCGGGAGUGAGAUAUGCGAAGAAAAAACAUUUCCAUAUUACACCUCACAUCUGUACAGGUUACCCACUUAUACAUAAAGUGAAGAGGGCACGACAAAACCUAUUCCCCCUCAGGAGACUGAAAAGAUUUGGCAUGGGUCCUCAAAAGGUUUUACAGCUGCACCAUCGAGAGCAUCCUGACGGGUUGCAUCACUGCCUGGUAUGGCAACUGCUCGUCCUCUGACCGCAAGGCACUACAAAGGGUAGUGCGUACGGCCCAGUACAUCACCGGGGCCAAGCUUCCUGACAUCCAGGACCUCUAUAAUAGGCGGUGUCAGAGGAAGGCCCUAAAGAUUGUCCAAGACUCCAGCCACCCUAGUCAUAGACUGUGCUCUCUGCUACCGCAUGGCAAGCGGUAACAGAGUGCCAAGUCUAGGUCCAAGAGGCUUCUAAACAGCUUCUACCCCCAAGCCAUAAGACUCCUGAACAGCUAAUCAAAUGGCUACCCAGACUAUUUGCAUUGCCCCAUCCUCUAUGCUGCUGCUACUCUGUUAUUAUCUAUGCAUAGCCACUUUAAAAAUCUCACCUACAUGUACAUAAAUACCUCAAAUACCUCGACACCGGUGCCCCCGCACAUUGACUCUGUACCGGUACCUCCUGUAUAUAGCCCCGCUAUUGUUAUUUACUACUGCUUUUUAAUUAUUUGUUAUUCUUAUCUCUUACUUUUUUGGGGGGGGGUUUCUUAAAACUGCAUUGUUGGUUAAUGGCUUGUAAGUAAGCAUUUCACUGUAUUCUGCGCAUGUGACAAAUACAAUUUGAUUUGAAACAGGACCAUAUAUUAUAUAGUGUUUUUGCGGACAUGACUGUAGUAUACUAUAGUAUUUACUAGUGAUUGCCAUUAAUUACAUAUGUUCAUUGCUGUUAUUGCCCGUUAUUAUUUGCACCUUUGUGUCCUUUUAGAUAAACCAUACUACAUACAACGCCAACCAAGUCUCCAUUCAAGACAAGCAUCUCAUGUCUACAACUGUCAAUCAUUCCCUGCCAUGUAUCAUCUCCAUUACCGGAAUCUAGCAAGACUUUUAAACUGAACUGCAUCUCUGCCUCCAGCUGCUCAGUAGAUGGGCAUCACCGUAACCCUCACCUAAACCUCAGUGUUUCCCUUGGAGACCCUUAUUAUUGGAGGACAUGUAGGAAAUGUAUAAAAGCACCCCGUGGUCAUGUUCAGGUGAGAGCUUUUUACUGUGAAUGUCCUUUGUGUGUACAGGCUGUAUGGUGUUGCUGGUGGUUUAUUUCUGCGAGGAACCAUUUUGUGACUAUGUUGUCUUGGAGAAAUGUUUGGGGUGUAGUCGAUUGUUCUGAAUGGUAUAUGUUGACUUUGACCAUCAGUGAGUUUUUCCCUGAGUGACAAUAUAUCCGAUUUUCAUUAUGUAAGGCCACUGCAAUCAUGGCCUUCUAUUUGAAGUCACUUUGUUUGGAGCGGCGUUGCUGGUUUGAGGUACAGGCUGUGCGUUGCUGGUUUGAGGUACAGGCUGUGCGUUGCUGGUUUGAGGUACAGGCUGUGCCCUCCAAAAAGGGCUCUGUCUAAGUAAAGUCAUUUCUAUUUCUACAAUAUCUAUUGUUUAUGUCAAUUCUGUGGUUAACUGUUCUUUCUUUUGUACCUUCAGAAGUACAGAAUUGUUUGUCACUGUUUUUGGUAAUCUUCUGAACUAGGUCAAUGGAAUUUCUGUGAAAGCACUCUUGUAUUUCAGAAAGCUGUCUAGUGGAAGUAACAGAUCUAUGAAGUCAUUUUGGUGUACUCUUGUUAAUGUGUGUUAUUUAUCUGUGUCAAACAAGCAAACCUAAUCCUCAGUUUUACUGAACUUUGCUUGUUCUUUAUCUGCCUCUGUAGUGUUUUCCUUUAAUGGGUCUAGAACCUGUGUCUAAUGUGUCUUAUGUUCUGGUUUAGUUGUUCCCCUAAUGAAACAGUAACUGGGGUAGUCUUGAAGUUGUGCCAGUUUAGCUAACCCUAGUCGGCAGCUGUUACCACAAUAUGCUACAGUCAUGUCUGCAAAAACACUACAGUGAAUGCUAUAGUAUACUACACUCAUGUCUGCAAAAAACCACAACAGUGAAUAGUAUAGUAUAUAAAUAUACUACUGUAUUUAGACCAUAGUAUACUAUAGUAUUUUUUAAUAUGGGUUAGCUGUAAAUGUGUAAUAUGUUGGAUGUUUGAACUAGGACCCAUUUUUUUGUAUUAUUCUCAUCAAAUUUCUAAAUGCAUUGUAUCCACAUUUGUGCUUAUAUUGUGUUUUUAAAUAGUCAAAUAAAAAAAUCAAGGGAUA
Oncorhynchus kisutch (coho salmon) is the source of this 4421-nucleotide long non-coding RNA. RefSeq lists it as uncharacterized. The transcript is spliced from 2 exons. The record is from RefSeq and is a predicted model, not a curated record. NCBI's taxonomy places the organism in Eukaryota, Metazoa, Chordata, Actinopteri, Salmoniformes, Salmonidae.